RNAcentral lists this ribosomal RNA (440 nucleotides) under uncultured bacterium. RNAcentral's name for it is "partial 16S ribosomal RNA". It matches the Rfam family "Bacterial small subunit ribosomal RNA", at positions 338 to 795 of the family's 1533-position model. The record is from RNAcentral.
CCUACGGGAGGCAGCAGUGGGGAAUAUUGCACAAUGGGGGAAACCCUGAUGCAGCGACGCCGCGUGAGUGAAGAAGGAUCUCGGUAUGUUAAGCCCUGUCAGCAGGGAAGAAAAUGACGGCACGUGACCAAGAAGCCCCGUCUAACUACGUGCAAGCAGCCGCGGUUAUACGUAGGGGGCAAGCGUUAUCCGGAUUUACUGGGUGUAAAGGGGGCGUAGGCGGCAGGGCAAGUCUGGAGGGAAAGGGGGGGGUUCAACCCCCGGACUGCUCUGGAAACUGGCAGGCUGGAGUGCAGGAGAGGUAAGUGGAAUGCGUAGUGUAGCGGUGAAAUGCAUAGAUAUUAGGAGGAACACCAGUGGCGAAGGCGGCAUACUGGACUGUAACUGACGUUGAGGCUCGAAAGCGUGGGGAGCGAACAGGAUUAGAUACCCCGGUAGUC